Molecule: ribosomal RNA, 492 nt
Filed under: uncultured bacterium
Lineage: Bacteria
Description: partial 16S ribosomal RNA
Rfam family: Bacterial small subunit ribosomal RNA
Source: RNAcentral
AGUGAACGCUGGCGGUAGGCCUAACACAUGCAAGUCGAACGGCAGCACAGUAAGAGCUUGCUCUUACGGGUGGCGAGUGGCGGACGGGUGAGGAAUACAUCGGAAUCUACUUUUUCGUGGGGGAUAACGUAGGGAAACUUACGCUAAUACCGCAUACGACCUACGGGUGAAAGCAGGGGAUCUUCGGACCUUGCGCGAUUGAAUGAGCCGAUGUCGGAUUAGAUAGUUGGCGGGGUAAAGGCCCACCAAGGCGACGAUCCGUAGCUGGUCUGAGAGGAUGAUCAGCCACCCUGGAACUGAGACACGGUCCAGACUCCUACGGGAGGCAGCAGUGGGGAAUAUUGGACAAUGGGCGCAAGCCUGAUCCAGCCAUACCGCGUGGGUGAAGAAGGCCUUCGGGUUGUAAAGCCAUUUUGUUGGGAAAGAAAAGCAGCAGGUUAAUACCCCGCUGUUCUGACGGUACCCAAAGAAUAAGCACCGGCUAACUUCGUG